Molecule: unclassified non-coding RNA, 219 nt
Filed under: Hevea brasiliensis (rubber tree)
Lineage: Eukaryota; Viridiplantae; Streptophyta; Magnoliopsida; Malpighiales; Euphorbiaceae
Source: RNAcentral
UGAGAUUGCCCUUUGUGAUAGAGAAGGAGAUGCUGGUGGAGAUUUGGGGGUUUCAGGUUCAUGGUCUCCCUUGGUGCUGGUGGAGCUUGAACUUGCUGUGGUUACCUCAGGUAUGGAUGCUUGCUUGGCGGAUGUAGUUCCUGUUCUUGCUCUGAGAGACAUAAUUAAUCUUGGGGAUUUGCAAGAUUAUGAUUUUUUUUUGGUUGGUGAAUACAGGAG